GCCGCGAUCACAUAACCUGGUUAUUGUACCGCUCUCGAAAAGCGGGCCUUUUGGCUUCUGGGUUCGAAUCCCAGUCGCGGCG
This 82-nucleotide transfer RNA is filed under the name archaeon. RNAcentral describes it as "tRNA-Ser". It matches the Rfam family "tRNA". Rfam says of the family: Transfer RNA (tRNA) molecules are approximately 80 nucleotides in length. Their secondary structure includes four short double-helical elements and three loops (D, anti-codon, and T loops). Further hydrogen bonds mediate the characteristic L-shaped molecular structure. tRNAs have two regions of fundamental functional importance: the anti-codon, which is responsible for specific mRNA codon recognition, and the 3' end, to which the tRNAs corresponding amino acid is attached (by aminoacyl-tRNA synthetases). tRNAs cope with the degeneracy of the genetic code in two manners: having more than one tRNA (with a specific anti-codon) for a particular amino acid; and 'wobble' base-pairing, i.e. permitting non-standard base-pairing at the 3rd anti-codon position. The record is from RNAcentral.